UCAGAUUAAAUAAAUUUAAUGGCGCUGAAGCACUGAAGUUUCACAUCUUGGACCACAAAAUGACUAUAUGCAAAUUCUCCAUUUGCUCCAUGUACUAAAGUGAAGUGUGUCUGGGGCACAGAAGGAGAAAUUCAUAUUUUUAAUCAUGAUCAUCUCAUCAGCUCUACUACUGCUGGCAGCAACUGCAUCCUGUGGUGUUUUCUGUGUUGAGCUCAAUCAGCCUCCAUCUUUGGUUGCGAAACCUCAAGAAUCAUUCUCCAUCUCCUGCAGGAUUUCAGUAUCAAGCUAUUGCAUUCACUGGAUCCAUCAACCCACUGGAAAAGCACUGGAAUGGCUCGGAUAUCUUUGUAGUGAUGGUAGAACCAACAUUAAAGAUUCUGUGAAAAACAAGAUCAGUUUCACCCAGGACACAUCCAAAAACACAGUGUUUCUACAGGGAAAUAAUUUUCAGACUGAGGACUCUGCUGUGUAUUACUGUGCGAUACAGUCACAGUGACUAAACAAGCCACAGCUCUGUACAAAAACCUGAACACAUGAAUCAGAGAUACGUAAUACCAGGGGCAUUUUUAUCCUUUCAUCAGCACUCAACACCAGCCCCACUCCUACUCUUUUUUUUUUUCUUUUAAAUGAUUUUUUUCACAUGAUUAUCACACAUAAUGCUCUGAUUGUAAUAUUAUCAUAGAAAAUGA
Non-coding RNA from Sinocyclocheilus anshuiensis, 689 nucleotides. Lineage: Eukaryota; Metazoa; Chordata; Actinopteri; Cypriniformes; Cyprinidae. The record is from the annotation of a RefSeq genome assembly.